RNAcentral lists this signal recognition particle RNA (98 nucleotides) under Campylobacterota bacterium. RNAcentral's name for it is "Epsilonproteobacteria bacterium (hydrothermal vent metagenome) signal recognition particle sRNA small type". It matches the Rfam family "Bacterial small signal recognition particle RNA". From Rfam's summary of the family: The signal recognition particle (SRP) is a universally conserved ribonucleoprotein involved in the co-translational targeting of proteins to membranes. The record is from RNAcentral. Lineage: Bacteria; Pseudomonadati; Campylobacterota.
CUCCUAGACCUGUGCAAUGUUGCAUCAAGGCAAUGGGUCAGGGUGGGAACACAGCAGCCCACCUUGAUGUAGCAUGUGCCGCAGGGAUCUGGGGGAAG